AGGAUGAAAGCUUGUGAGUCGUAAACUCCUUUUCUUAGUGAAGAAAUAAGACGGUAUCUAAGGAAUAAGCAUCGGCUAACUCCGUGCCAGCAGCCGCGGUAAUACGGAGGAUGCAAGCGUUAUUCGGAAUUAUUGGGCGUAAAGCGUCUGUAGGUGGUUUUUUAAGUCUACUGUUAAAUAUUAAGGCUUAACCUUAAAGAAGCGGUAUGAAACUAAAAAACUUGAGUUUAGUAGAGGUAGAGGGAAUUCUCGGUGUAGUGGUGAAAUGCGUAGAGAUCGAGAAGAACACCGGUAGCGAAAGCGCUCUACUGGGCUAAAACUGACACUGAGAGACGAAAGCUAGGGGAGCAAAUAGGAUUAGAUACCCUAGUAGUCCUAGCUGUAAACGAUGGAUACUAAGUGUUGGGCUAUAAAAAGCUCAGUGCUGUAGCUAACGCAUUAAGUAUCCCGCCUGGGAAG
RNAcentral lists this ribosomal RNA (459 nucleotides) under uncultured cyanobacterium. RNAcentral's name for it is "bacterial SSU rRNA". It matches the Rfam family "Bacterial small subunit ribosomal RNA", at positions 405 to 880 of the family's 1533-position model. Lineage: Bacteria; Bacillati; Cyanobacteriota. The record is from RNAcentral.